GUGAGGAAUAUUGGUCAAUGGACGGAAGUCUGAACCAGCCAUGCCGCGUGCAGGAUUAAGGCCCUAUGGGUCGUAAACUGCUUUUGUGGUGGAGCAAUAAGACGUACGUGUACGUCGAUGAGAGUACAUCACGAAUAAGCAUCGGCUAACUCCGUGCCAGCAGCCGCGGUAAUACGGAGGAUGCAAGCGUUAUCCGGAUUUAUUGGGUUUAAAGGGUGCGUAGGCUGUUCGUCAAGUCAGAGGUGAAAUACCACAGCUUAACUGUGGAACUGCCUUUGAUACUGGCGAGCUGGAAUACGGAUGCCGUGGGAGGAAUGAGUAGUGUAGCGGUGAAAUGCAUAGAUAUUACUCAGAACACCGAUUGCGAAGGCAUCUCACGAAUCCGUCAUUGACGCUGAGGCACGAAAGCGUGGGGAUCAAACAGG
Molecule: ribosomal RNA, 425 nt
Filed under: uncultured rumen bacterium
Lineage: Bacteria
Description: bacterial SSU rRNA
Rfam family: Bacterial small subunit ribosomal RNA
Source: RNAcentral